GGGAUUACAGGCACCUGCCACCAUGCCCAGAAAAUUUCUGUAUUUUAGUAUAGGUAGGGUUUCACCAUCUUGGCCAGGCUGGCUUCCAGCUCCUGCCCUCAAAUGAUCCACCCACCUGGGCCUCCCAAAGUGCUGGGAUUAUAGGCAUGAGCCACUGCAGCUGGUCUAUUAGCUAUGCUCUUGAGGUGAUUUACAUUUGUUGUGUCUGUGGGGUAGAAAUACUGUACAGUGGUGUUGGCAGCUCUUCCUGAUUUUGCUUUCAGUGACCUCAGGUUGGUAGCUUGAAAUUAGUUGUGGCAGGAGUAUUCACACCACAGAAAUGGGCUAUUGCUACUAAUCAGAGCUGAUAGUUACUAAUCCCAACCCUCCCAGAGCCAGUGGUGAAACAC
This 389-nucleotide long non-coding RNA is filed under the name Homo sapiens (human). RNAcentral describes it as "HSALNT0054436". Lineage: Eukaryota; Metazoa; Chordata; Mammalia; Primates; Hominidae. The record is from RNAcentral.